ACGACUCUCGGCAACGGAUAUCUCGGCUCACGCAUCGAUGAAGAACGUAGCAAAAUGCGAUACUUGGUGUGAAUUGCAGAAUCCCGUGAACCAUCGAGUUUUUGAACGCAAGUUGCGCCCGAAACCAUUUGGUUGAGGGCACGUCUGCCUGGGCGUCACAC
RNAcentral lists this ribosomal RNA (161 nucleotides) under Antennaria dioica. Its description in RNAcentral is "5.8S ribosomal RNA". It matches the Rfam family "5.8S ribosomal RNA". Rfam says of the family: 5.8S ribosomal RNA (5.8S rRNA) is a component of the large subunit of the eukaryotic ribosome. The record is from RNAcentral. Lineage: Eukaryota; Viridiplantae; Streptophyta; Magnoliopsida; Asterales; Asteraceae.